RNAcentral lists this ribosomal RNA (253 nucleotides) under uncultured bacterium. RNAcentral's name for it is "partial 16S ribosomal RNA". It matches the Rfam family "Bacterial small subunit ribosomal RNA", at positions 524 to 776 of the family's 1533-position model. The record is from RNAcentral.
UACGUAGGGGGCAAGCGUUGUCCGGAUUUAUUGGGCGUAAAGAGCGUGUAGGCGGUUUGGUAGGUCCGUUGUGAAAACUCGAGGCUCAACCUCGAGACGCCGAUGGAAACCAUCAGACUAGAGUCCGGAAGAGGAGAGUGGAAUUCUCGGUGUAGCAGUGAAAUGCGUAGAUAUCGAGAGGAACACCAGUGGCGAAGGCGAGUCCCUGGACACUUCCUGACACUGAGGCACGAAAGCUAGGGGAGCAAACAGG